UCAAUCAGUCGAUUCCCUCAUCCCCUUUGCUGCUUCUCCUUUUCACUUUCACCUUCACACGUCUGCUUCUCCUUCAUUUGUGCUUCGAAGACGUCUCCUCCUCUAUUUAAUUUCUGCAGCUUCUUCCUCUUGAAGACCGCCCACCUCCACUAGUCGUUGUCCCCUUUGGUCAACUUCAGCACUUAACAGCACUUUGUUGUUGACCCUGGCAGCUUCUUCAAGCGCCAGCUGCUCCAUUCCAUCGAGAAUUCCUUCAAUUCUUCGCACGUGCAGCUGCCACGUUCGCUCUCUCCAUUGUGCAGCUGCGUCCCCGCCGAAGCCACACGUCCCCGAGUCAACUCCUCGCACCUUCGGCUCCCACGGUCGAAGACACCAACGAAGCAGCCGUUUCCUCCUUUGCGCUUCUCCAUUCGGUGCUGCCCUCCAUCUUCGACCGACCAGCUUCUGUCUUCCACGCCACAUGUUCACGGCCUACCUCCCCUCAGUCAACAAAACCAGCAAGUUUUCCCCUUCGUUGACAGUAAGCCAACGAAGCAGCACCCACCGAGCUCUCCCAUCUUCAUCGUCCACCGCAUCCAGUUGCUCUUUGCUUCUUCGCGUGGGUUGCUGCCUCAAUGAAGACCAACUGCUUCGGUCUUCCUUCGCUCACGCCAGCUGGACCGAGCCCAUCGCCACAGCUGCUUCUUCAUUCAGCCCAAUUGAAGACCGAAGCCCACGUGAAUUUCCAGCAGCCCAAAAGUCCAGCAGUUCAGCCACUUGAAGCCCGGCCCAGUUCAGUGUUCCCAGCAGCCUUCAGCCCAGCGAAUUUGGUCCAACGAAGCCCAACAAGUUUCAGUUUUCAGCAGGCCCAAGCCCAAGUCUAAGCCCAGAAAUUUCUGCAGGCUUGUGAAGCUUUUAGGCCUAGCCCGAGUGUCCGCCGACGUCGCCGAAAAUUUGGAUUUCGGCCACCGUCGCGCCGCCGUCACAGUGAAGCAGUCUUCGCUUUUAACAAGACCCUGAUGAGGAGCCUAAGGAGGAGAACCCUGAUGUAAAACCUAAGGAGGAGGAAGAUUUUGAAGAAGAAGAUGAUCCAAAGAAUGAUCUUGAGUACGACCCGGAUGAGAACUGAGAUUCCAUCCUAUUUUAUGUGAACCUUGUGUUCUUGUAGAUAGGUGUGAGAUCAGACCUUUGUGAAUAGUAUAGUAAAACACUAUGGGUUGUGCUAUGUAUGUUGUGAAUUUCAUUAUGAAAAAUCAUGGCUCUGCUUUUCUAUCUCA
Long non-coding RNA from Eucalyptus grandis, 1256 nucleotides. RefSeq lists it as uncharacterized. NCBI's taxonomy places the organism in Eukaryota, Viridiplantae, Streptophyta, Magnoliopsida, Myrtales, Myrtaceae. The record is from RefSeq and is a predicted model, not a curated record. The transcript has 2 exons.